RNAcentral lists this long non-coding RNA (539 nucleotides) under Musa acuminata (dwarf banana). RNAcentral describes it as "long non-coding RNA (MACU_LNC001797)". The record is from RNAcentral. Lineage: Eukaryota; Viridiplantae; Streptophyta; Magnoliopsida; Zingiberales; Musaceae.
UGAUAUGAAGCAUAAGAUAAAAUAUGCUUGAAGUACAUAAGUCGAGAAAACAUUGACCAAUUUAAGAAGAAACUUGCUAUAGUAUGAGGCAUAAGGUAAAAUGUAUUCAAGGCACAUAAGUAAAAAAAACUAGACCCUUAUGGGAAGAAUCUUACCAUAGUAGGAGAUACAAGAUAAAAUAUGCCCGAGAUGCAUGAGUAGAAAAUACCCAACUUAUAUAAAAAGAAACCUGCAAUGGUGGGAGGCACAAGGCCAAAUGUGCCCAAGGACCGUGAACUAGGAAAAACCUGACCCUAUGAAAAGAAACUCAUCAUGAUAGGAAGCAUAAAGAAAAAUAUGUAUGAGACACAUGAUUCAGGAAAACUCAACCUAUAUGAGAAUAAAUCCAUCACGAUGGAAGGCAUAAAAGAAAUAGUGCUCGAGAUCAUCAUCAUCAAGCCACGAAGAUCAGACACUUGACCCUUGUCUUCUUGCCAAGGCAUGAAGGUUGGGAAAUCGAUCCCUUUUCGUUAUUGCUAAGCCAUAUACAUUGGGCACCC